RNAcentral lists this ribosomal RNA (498 nucleotides) under Escherichia coli. RNAcentral's name for it is "bacterial SSU rRNA". It matches the Rfam family "Bacterial small subunit ribosomal RNA", at positions 549 to 1046 of the family's 1533-position model. The record is from RNAcentral. Lineage: Bacteria; Pseudomonadati; Pseudomonadota; Gammaproteobacteria; Enterobacterales; Enterobacteriaceae.
AAUUACUGGGCGUAAAGCGCACGCAGGCGGUUUGUUAAGUCAGAUGUGAAAUCCCCGGGCUCAACCUGGGAACUGCAUCUGAUACUGGCAAGCUUGAGUCUCGUAGAGGGGGGUAGAAUUCCAGGUGUAGCGGUGAAAUGCGUAGAGAUCUGGAGGAAUACCGGUGGCGAAGGCGGCCCCCUGGACGAAGACUGACGCUCAGGUGCGAAAGCGUGGGGAGCAAACAGGAUUAGAUACCCUGGUAGUCCACGCCGUAAACGAUGUCGACUUGGAGGUUGUGCCCUUGAGGCGUGGCUUCCGGAGCUAACGCGUUAAGUCGACCGCCUGGGGAGUACGGCCGCAAGGUUAAAACUCAAAUGAAUUGACGGGGGCCCGCACAAGCGGUGGAGCAUGUGGUUUAAUUCGAUGCAACGCGAAGAACCUUACCUGGUCUUGACAUCCACAGAACUUUCCAGAGAUGGAUUGGUGCCUUCGGGAACUGUGAGACAGGUGCUGCAU